GAUAGCUUCUUGUAGAAAGCAAAGGUCCUUUCCCUUGGGGUAAUAUAAUACUGGUAGCUACCAUUGCCUUGAUGGUAGAGACCAAAGGAGCUUAUGACCUGAAGGGAUAAAAAUGGUCCCCUAAGAACUGCCAGAAAACCCAAGGUAUUGCUUUAUCUGGGUCUUUUUUUUUCUUCUUUCUUGUCAAACCCACAAAUAUUUAGGGGGAUUUAAUUUUCAUUUCUCAGAUUUUCUCAUGUUUUCUUUAUCCUAAUGUUGUUUGGUGAAAGUGGUUUGAUGCCUGUGACAGUUCCCAAGACAUUUUUUUAGGUUUUUCUUAGAAGCAGGAAGUUACAGUGUGCCAAACGCCAAAGAAGCCAGCUUCUAACGAUGAAGAAUACAAGAGUUGCUUGUGGCUAAUAAGAGGUUAACAGCCAGUCUAUAUCAGAAGUGGGACCUGAACCCAAAUCUUCCUGAUCCUGAAGCCUGCUCUCUAUUUAGUAAUGUCAUCCAGCUUGUCAGGUCAAGAACAGAUCCAAGGCACUCUACUAUAUAGAUCUCCUUCCAGGCUGAUUCAGUCUGUCCAUUAAUUCCUACUCCUUGGAUCCAGUGAUUCAACCACUUCUGAAUUCAUCUGCUUAUACUAUUGGGCAGCCUCCAUCUCCCCACCUUGUCUACAAGAAUAUCAAGACACUUUGUCAUAUGCUUUGCUGAAAUCCAGCAUCUGAAGACCAGAGCUGUGCAAAUGGUAGACACUCCAUCCAUUGAACAGAUUGAAAUUAAAUUGGAAGCUUUUUUUAGCCCAGAGGGAUGAACCACCCAUAAUCUGAACUCAAGACAACGAAGCAGAAAUCUUUAGGGGCAAGAAGUCCUUUUGGCAGUGCUACUCCUAUUACCCAAAGUCAACUAUCUAUUGGAGCCAGCUCUAAUUGACUUAUGUAUGGGUGAAGAUGGUCCCAUUUGGAGUCCUCUAGUCUUUGUUUUUAAUGUGAAUCCCUUUUAAAGCAAUCUUUUGCCUUUAUAAAGGUAGCAGAACAUAACAAUGAGAAAAUAAAAUCAGGGAAAAAACAUUUUUAUUUGUUUCC
This 1064-nucleotide long non-coding RNA is filed under the name Monodelphis domestica (gray short-tailed opossum). RNAcentral describes it as "lncRNA (ENSMODG00000034538.2)". The record is from RNAcentral. Lineage: Eukaryota; Metazoa; Chordata; Mammalia; Didelphimorphia; Didelphidae.